This 253-nucleotide ribosomal RNA is filed under the name uncultured bacterium. Its description in RNAcentral is "partial 16S ribosomal RNA". It matches the Rfam family "Bacterial small subunit ribosomal RNA", at positions 524 to 776 of the family's 1533-position model. The record is from RNAcentral.
AACGUAGGAGACAAACGUUAUCCGGAGUUACUGGGCGUAAAGGGCGCGUAGGCGGUGUGUCAAGUCAGGCGUGGAAGCCCCGGGCUCAACCUGGGAACCGCGCUUGAGACUGGCACGCUAGAGCUCGGGAGAGGAUGGUGGAAUUCCCAGUGUAGAGGUGAAAUUCGUAGAUAUUGGGAAGAACACCGAUGGCGAAGGCAGCCAUCUGGACCGACACUGACGCUGAGGCGCGAAAGCGUGGGGAGCAAACAGG